RNAcentral lists this ribosomal RNA (254 nucleotides) under uncultured bacterium. RNAcentral describes it as "partial 16S ribosomal RNA". It matches the Rfam family "Bacterial small subunit ribosomal RNA", at positions 524 to 776 of the family's 1533-position model. The record is from RNAcentral.
UACGGGGGGGGCAAGCGUUGUUCGGAAUUACUGGGCGUAAAGGGCUCGUAGGCGGCCAAACUAAGUCGGAUGUGAAAUCCCUAGGCUUAACCUGGGAACUGCAUCCGAUACUGGAUGGCUUGAAUCCGGGAGAGGGAUGCAGAAUUCCAGGUGUAGCGGUGAAAUGCGUAGAUAUCUGGAGGAAUACCGGUGGCGAAGGCGGCAUCCUGGACCGGCAUUGACGCUGAUGAGCGAAAGCUAGGGGAGCAAACGGG